RNAcentral lists this long non-coding RNA (8393 nucleotides) under Zea mays. RNAcentral describes it as "long non-coding RNA (ZMAY_LNC004829)". The record is from RNAcentral. Lineage: Eukaryota; Viridiplantae; Streptophyta; Magnoliopsida; Poales; Poaceae.
CUUCAAUGAGCUCCUGCUCAGCUACUUCUACUUGUUGAACCUCAGAAUCCACAGUGGCUUGCUCGUCUAUUCGCAUCAACACAAUACAUACAUAGUAUAGCCAAAAUCAACAUCACACCAAACAGAUGAAUAAAAUAUACAGUAAAAAUCUACACAUUAAAAUGAAAUCAUAGGAACUGGAAUCACUAAAUUUGGAGUUAUAGAAUUCAAGUUAUGAAUUUCCUAAGGUUUAAUGUGAUUAAAAUAGGAUUAAAUGUUUAAAUUAAUGUUCUUACUGUUUUUAUGCCAAAACAGAGAUACUAAAUGAUAGAGAAGAUUAUUACAAAAUUUUAGAAAUUGGAAUGGGGUAAUUUGGAGUUCAUAUGAGUUUUCUAUGGAAUAAACAAGUCCUAGGAGUUGUUUUUUAUUAAAAAUACAUUUCCUAAUUUAUUUAAUCUGAUUUUCCUUUCCCUGGAUUGCGCCCCAAUAUUCAGAAAGGUUAAGGGCUCAGGCGUAAGAAAACCCCAGACUCAGAGGGCUGCAGCAUUGGACGGCGGGUUGAUAAUACAAAACCCCAGGGUUUAUUUUACAAAUCCUGCAGCUGAAGGGGUACGGGAGGAUUGCAGCCGCUCGAUUAGAUUUAAAUGGCCCGGAUUAGAAAAUGAAGAGGUAUGCAUCCAGAGCCCUAGGAUUUGAGAUCAAUGCUCUGGAUUUUAAAACGCCAGGAACACCCCUCGCCCCUCCAUCCAUCGAUCAACGGCCAGGAUGGGCCAUGGCCGAAACACCAUCCUACACCUAUUCACGAUCGCACAAUCACGAUCCGACGGCCAUGGCUCUUCUCUCUCACCUUAAUCCCGAGACGGCGGCGCAUGGCCCUGACGCGGCGGAGCCAUGGCCGGCGCACUCCCAAAUUCGGCUCCAUCAAUCGAACUUCGAUCCGAAGGCAAUAUCACGCAAAGGAUAACGAUGCGAUACGAUGGGGAGGUUGCUCACCGUGAUUCCAAGAGUGCCCCGGGCCAUCCACGGGGAGCGGCGGAUCCCAGCGUUCGACGAUGAAUCCCGGCCGCCACAGGGUCAAUCCUUCCCUAUCCGGCCACGGGUGUUCCACCGGCCAGCACAUGAAGCUUCUGGACUCAUCGCAGACCCCCAAACGUCAGUCGUGGACGGGGACGAUGCUGACGGCGUCCCUGCUCUCAACUCUCUCUUCUGCUCAGGCGCUGGCGGCCGAGAAGUGCGUCGCGGGUGGAUUCGAUCGUGGAGGCCGCGCGGUCAGUGACAGGACGGAUCGAUUUGAGGUCCGUGAUGCCGGAGUUGGCCGCGGCGGUGGUUUAUUAUGGCCAUGGCGACCCGCACAGAGGGAUGAAGCCUCGGCUUCCGCACAAGAUAGGAGAGGGAAUACGCGGUGGGGAAAUCGUUUGGAGGAGAGCGAGAUGUGUGGACGCAUGUGGGCAUGCUCCCGAGUUCGCGGUCGAACCAGGUCAGCGCGAUCCGAUCCCCACGGGGAAGAAGAAGACCGCGCCAGCAAGGUGGGUCCCAUGAGCAGAGAAGGAGCUUCACGCCCAAUCCUACCACGACUGAGGAGCGGGCCCGCGCGGUCAGCGUGUAGUCGCCCGGUUAAUUUCGCGCCUGACGGAUCGGCCCACAAGCGGGUGAAGGCCGUAGCGCGCGCGUGUGUAGCAGAGAAAAUGAGGUGGGCCGGCGGGGAAAAGUAUGGAGAUGGGCCGGGAAGGAAGAAGGUUGGCCCAAGCGCAGGGAAUUUUUCCUUUUCCUUUUUUUUCUGCUUUCUUAUUUAUUCCUAAUUCAUUUGAAUUUGAAUUUUUAAUUCCACUUAAGUGCAAAUUCAAGUUGACGUUAACUAUGCAAUUUAGUCACACCAUCAUAUGGUGAAGUUAAAAUACAAGUUUUUAGAGAUAUAAUUAUAUCAUUUCUCUUCUUCUCAUCUUUUCUCAAUUCUUUAAUUUUCUUUAGAAUUUAAAUUCCACCUUGGAUUUUUAACAUAUUUCUUGUUACCUUAUCUUAUGUUGUCACAAAAUGCACACAAAAAUAAAACCCCAGCAUGAUGCAUAAUUUAUUUUUGGGUGUCUUUUGUUAUUUAUUUAUUUGUCUUCGUGUGAUGUUCUCAUGAAAUGAUAGAUAUAGAUAACAAACAUAUAUACAACAAAAUAUCAUUUCUCCUUUUAGGUUAUCCUCCACAAAUCACAAGUUGGGUAUUACAAAUCCUACCCCCCUUAACAAGAAUCUCGUCCUCGAGAUUUAGGAGGAACGAAGGAAAAGAUGGGGAAAAAUCUAUGUGAAGCUCUUCUUCUCUCUCCCAUGUAGCUUCAUCUUCUCCAUGGUGACUCCAUUGUACUUUGCACAUUUUUAUAAUCCUUAUUUCUUGUAACUCGAGCCAAAGUGUCAAGAAUCUUGAUAGGAUACUCCUUGUAAACCAAACCAUGAACACUGAGCCCUUCCAUUGGUAACUGUUCCUCAGGGUCAAGGAGACACUUCUUAAGUUGAGACAUAUGGAAAACAUUAUGCUCACCAAAUGGAUUAUCAGGUAGCUUGAGUUGAUAGGUCAUCUCUCCAACUUGCCUAAAAACUCAGAAUGAUCCAAUAUAGCAAGGGGACAAUUUUCCUUUGACUUUGAAUCUUCUCAUACCCCGGAGUGGUGACACCUUCAAAUAGACAUAAUCUCCCUCUUUAAACUCAAGCAGUCUUCUCCGGGUGUCAGCAUAACUUUUCUGCAUGGAUUGUGCAGUUCUCAAAUUCUCCCGAAUUAUACAGACUUGUUCUUCUGCCUCUUGAAUAAGUUCAGGUCCAAAGAACGGUCUUCCUCCAGUCUGGUCCAAAGAUAGAGGAGUUCUGCAUUUCCUGCCACAUAGAGCCUCGAACGGGGACAUCUUCAGCCUGGCCUGUUAACUAUCAUUAUAUGAAAACUUAGCAUAAGGUAGACUCUUGUCCCAACUACUACCAUGCUGAAGGGCACAAGCUCUCAACAUAUCUUCAAGCACUUGGUUGGUUCUCUCAGUCUGCCCAUCGGUCUGGGGAUGGUAAGCCGAACUAAAAUUCAAUCUCGUAUCCAUUGACUCGUGUAACUUCUUCCAAUACCGAGAGGUAAACUGCGAUCCCCGGUCUGAUACAAUCUCCUUUGGCACACCAUGCAGGCAGACAAUCCGUGUCAUGUACAACUCUGCCAACUUAGCUCCUGAAUAUGUGGUCUUCACUGGAAUAAAGUGGGCUACCUUAGUUAGCCUGUCCACAAUCACCCAUAUAGAAUCAUAUCCAGCAGACGUGCGGGGUAAUCCAACAAUGAAGUCCAUGCCGAUCUCUUCCCAUUUCCACUCAGGUAUCUUCAGUGGAUGCAGUAGUCCGGCUGGCCUCUGGUGUUCAGCCUUAACUCUUUGGCACACAUCGCACAUACCACAUGUGCAGCUACAUCUCUCUUCAAUCCAUACCACUAAUACUUCCGCUUCAAAUCCUGAUACAUCUUGGUACUGCCAGGAUGAAUAGAAUAAUCUGAAUCAUGGGCCUCCCUUAAAAUAGUCUCUCGAAGGCUUUCAAUAUCAGGAACACACAUCCUAUCCUUGAACCAUACGGUUCCUUGCUCAUCUUCCGUAAAUUCCGGACCUCGACCUUCAGUAAUCAGAUCCUUGAUCUCUUGUAUUUUAGCAUCACUAAUUUGACCUUUGCGGAUUUCUUGCUCCAAAGUAGGUUCCACAUCAAUAGUAACUCCUUUAGUGUGGGCAACUAUCCCCAGGUUAAGUAUCCUGAAAUCCUCAACAAUCUCAUCGGGUAGCUAGGCAACAAUAGCUGAAUGAACAUGCUCCUUGCAACUCAAGGCAUCUGCAACCAAAUUUGCCUUGCGUGGGUGAUAGUGAAUCUCCAAAUCAUAAUCCUUAAUAAGCUCCAUCCAACAGCGUUGCCUAAGGUUGAGAUCCUUCAGAGUAAAUAUAUACUUCAAACUCUUAUGAUCCGUGUACACUUGACACUUGGUUCCCAUAAUAUAAUGUCUCCAAAUCUUAAGCGCAUGCACUACGGUUGCCAGUUCUAAGUCAUGAGUGGGGUAGUUCAAUUCAUGUUUCCGUAACUGACGAGACGCAUAGGCGAUCACAUGUCCUUCUUGCAUGAGCACACAUCCCAAGCCUUGGCCACAUGCAUCACAAUAAAUAUCAAAUCCUUUCUGUAGGUCUGGCAUAACCAACACUGGUGGUGACAUUAAUCUCUUCUUUAAUUUAUCAAAGCUUUCUUGGCACUUCUCGUCCCACUUAAACUCUCUUCCCUUCUCUAGAAGUGAGGUCAUAGGCUUCGCAAUCUUAGAAAAUCCUUCAAUAAAUCUCCAAUAAUAUCCUGCAAGUCCCAAGAAACUCUGAAUCUCAGUGACGGUAGUGGGCACGCUCCAUUCCAUUAUCUCCUUCACUUUAGCAAGAUCCACUGCUAUUCCUCCAUUAGAAAUAAUAUGUCCAAGGAAUGGCACCUUGUCAAUCCAAAACUCGCACUUGCUAAACUUGGCAUAGAGUUGAUUAUCUCGUAGCUUCUGUAGCACCAAUCUCAGGUGUUCCUUUUGAUUGCUAUCACUCUUGGAAUAAAUAAAAAAAUAUUGUUGAUGAAAACCACGACGAAUCUGUCCAGAUCAUGAACACCCUAUUCUUCAUUACCAUAAAAUAAGCUAGUGCAUUAGUUAAUCCAAACGACAUAACCGUGAACUCAUAUAAUCCAUAUCGGGUCGAUAAAAUCGUCUUGGGAAUAUUCGAUGGACUAAUCUUCAUUUGGUGUUAACCCGGUCGGAGUUCAAUCUUCGAGAAUACCCUUGCACCUCUCAUCCGAUUAAAUAAAUCCUUAAUGCGGGGUAACAGAAACUUGUUCUUCACAGUAACAUCAUUAAGGGACCUUUAAUCCACGCACAUCACUUGCGAUCCAUCUUUCUUCUGUACAAAUAGAACUGGUGCUCCCCAAGGUGAGGAACUCAGACAAAUGUACCCCGCCUCUUGUAAUUCCGUUAAUUGCUUCUUAAGUUCUUUUAACUCUUCUACAGACAUCAUGUAUGGCCGUUUGAAAGUAGGGGCAGUUCUAGGUAAGGGAUCAAUGACAAACUCAACUUCCGUAUCUGGUGGCAUCCCUGGUAACUCCUCUGGAAAGACAUCCGGAAAAUCUAUAACCACACGGAUGUUGACACCAACAAACUUCCCAUCGACUAAGAAUGCCGCUAGUUUGGUGGCGGUAGUUACUGCAACUUCAACUUCAAACCUUUCUUCUUUGGGACUGGUGAGUUCUACGGUUCCUUUAGCAUAGUGUAUAAACUGUCUUUGCCUUUCUUAACCAUGACAUACCAAGGAUCACGUCUAUAGUGCUCUCUUCUAACACUAUAGGGGUAGCACAUCUGGGUUAGAAACAUAGGGUAAGAAAGGAAGAAUUGUAGACAAGGUGAGUAAUUACGAGAAAUGUUACUGCGGGGGAUUUAUUAGUUAAGUAGAUUAGUGUGUUAUCCACUAAAGCUAAUACAUUACCUUAUGGUGGAACAUGCUAAGAUGCCCAACUAUAAUGUUUCAAUCAAUCAAAGAAGCAAAUCAAGCAUUGAUCAUCAGCACAAUCAAACAACGUUUUUAAAUAUUGAAAAUAGUUUCGAUUUUUGUCUUAGGCUUCCUAUAUCUUAAAAGUUCAUAAGUGUAGGAUUCCAAGGUGUGAAAUCCAUCUUGUCUUAGAGUUGAAAAGAUAAGAGUAAUCAAAGAAUGACAGCAAAAGGUGAGACAGGAUCAACAUAAGGUAAGUAUAGAAUGAAUCAGAGUAAGGUAAGUAGGUAAGGGUUGUCCAUUUCUAUCUAGGUUUCGUCCUACAGUCAACAUUUCCUCUGAUACCACUUCUGUAACACCCGGCUUUAAGGGACAAAGCCAGGUGCAUCUCAUACAUGCGCCAUGAAGACAACAUAUACAAUAACAGAGUGUAUAGAGAUAAAUGUCAUAAUAACAUCAGAGUACUUAUUACAUAGCGGAAGACUUAUUACAAAAUAAAGGAAUAAAUGUAAAACGAACUAAGGAUCGUCGGCGCAAAUGUCGACUGAGAAACGCCACCUAGAUCAGAUCAUACUCCUCGCCUUGUGGCUCCUCCUGAACCACCUGUUCUUCUCCUGUGGGGGGGUGUGAGAUAGCAAGAGUGAGCUCACAUACGUUCAUCGCUCAACAAGUUGUGGGGAAUAAUGUGGCAUGAACUCACCAAAGGUGGGAGUUCAUGAAGUGUAAGGCUGACCAAUGAAAUAGAGGCUGAAGCUGAGCAUUGCUUUUAUAAGUUGGUCAAAAUUUUAUUAGCAAUUACUAAGUGUAAGUAAGUACCAAACCUUAAUAAUAAUAAAGAACAGUAAUAGUAAAGUAAUCCCAAAUGCGAUGCAAAUGUCAAAUUGAAUUUAAGUUCCAUAAUUAAUCAUGUGAGGGUCCGAGCCGCUCUUGACCGUGAGCACGGCUAGUAUACCAGUUUUACACUCUGCAGAGGUUGCGCAUCUUUACCCACAAGUCAUGUUACCCAUCUGCCAAGAGAUGGCCAAUCCCAUACACCUCUACCGAGGAGGCGAGGCAGGGUAACACUACGAGGCCUUUACAAAGUUCCACUAGCUUCAGAAAUCCCGCUACAGUUUAUAGGAAGCUCCAGUGCAGGGUUCUUGCCUGACCGCCAUCGCAGCAAAAUCAACCCAAGGACCUCCCUACACUGACCACUCCCCUACUGCCCUUGCCCCUUUCGGGUAAGGAAGACCUCCACUAGCUUUCCUAGUUAAUCAGCCAAGGGCGUCCCAUUAUACCCUUAUGGUAGCACUGUUUUCCCGGGUGGUCGCUCCAUGUUCCCAUUAACAUAAUGAUCUUAACAUGAACAGUAAUAAUAAAAGAGAAUAAAAGAGUAAUUAUGAAUAAAGUAUCUUCAUACCCAAAUCCACAUAAAGCAAUAGCAGGUACUACCCAAAGAAAUAUUUCAGUAGUGAACAAGGUAUAAAGAUAGCCAAAACUAGGAUAACCUAUUGGGUCCCAUCAAAAUUAUCCUAUGCAGAUCAUUAUAAUUAAUAAGAACAUGGCUGGGAAAAGUAAGUGAUCAAGGGCACAACUUGCCUUCAAUGAGCUCCUGCUCAGCUACUUCUACUUGUUGAACCUCAGAAUCCACAGUGGCUUGCUCGUCUAUUCGCAUCAACACAAUACAUACAUAGUAUAGCCAAAAUCAACAUCACACCAAACAGAUGAAUAAAAUAUACAGUAAAAAUCUACACAUUAAAAUGAAAUCAUAGGAACUGGAAUCACUAAAUUUGGAGUUAUAGAAUUCAAGUUAUGAAUUUCCUAAGGUUUAAUGUGAUUAAAAUAGGAUUAAAUGUUUAAAUUAAUGUUCUUACUGUUUUUAUGCCAAAACAGAGAUACUAAAUGAUAGAGAAGAUUAUUACAAAAUUUUAGAAAUUGGAAUGGGGUAAUUUGGAGUUCAUAUGAGUUUUCUAUGGAAUAAACAAGUCCUAGGAGUUGUUUUUUAUUAAAAAUACAUUUCCUAAUUUAUUUAAUCUGAUUUUCCUUUCCCUGGAUUGCGCCCCAAUAUUCAGAAAGGUUAAGGGCUCAGGCGUAAGAAAACCCCAGACUCAGAGGGCUGCAGCAUUGGACGGCGGGUUGAUAAUACAAAACCCCAGGGUUUAUUUUACAAAUCCUGCAGCUGAAGGGGUACGGGAGGAUUGCAGCCGCUCGAUUAGAUUUAAAUGGCCCGGAUUAGAAAAUGAAGAGGUAUGCAUCCAGAGCCCUAGGAUUUGAGAUCAAUGCUCUGGAUUUUAAAACGCCAGGAACACCCCUCGCCCCUCCAUCCAUCGAUCAACGGCCAGGAUGGGCCAUGGCCGAAACACCAUCCUACACCUAUUCACGAUCGCACAAUCACGAUCCGACGGCCAUGGCUCUUCUCUCUCACCUUAAUCCCGAGACGGCGGCGCAUGGCCCUGACGCGGCGGAGCCAUGGCCGGCGCACUCCCAAAUUCGGCUCCAGCAAUCGAACUUCGAUCCGAAGGCAAUAUCACGCAAAGGAUAACGAUGCGAUACGAUGGGGAGGUUGCUCACCGUGAUUCCAAGAGUGCCCCGGGCCAUCCACGGGGAGCGGCGGAUCCCAGCGUUCGACGAUGAAUCCCGGCCGCCACAGGGUCAAUCCUUCCCUAUCCGGCCACGGGUGUUCCACCGGCCAGCACAUGAAGCUUCUGGACUCAUCGCAGACCCCCAAACGUCAGUCGUGGACGGGGACGAUGCUGACGGCGUCCCUGCUCUCAACUCUCUCUUCUGCUCAGGCGCUGGCGGCCGAGAAGUGCGUCGCGGGUGGAUUCGAUCGUGGAGGCCGCGCGGUCAGUGACAGGACGGAUCGAUUUGAGGUCCGUGAUGCCGGAGUUGGCCGCGGCGGUGGUUUAUUAUGGCCAUGGCGACCCGCACAGAGGGAUGAAGCCU